CACAAAGAAUCUUCUAGUCAGAACAAC
Molecule: non-coding RNA, 27 nt
Filed under: Rattus norvegicus (Norway rat)
Lineage: Eukaryota; Metazoa; Chordata; Mammalia; Rodentia; Muridae
Source: RNAcentral